CUUGCAACCUACCUUUGUUUCAAAGGUUA
RNAcentral lists this non-coding RNA (29 nucleotides) under Mus musculus (house mouse). The record is from RNAcentral. Lineage: Eukaryota; Metazoa; Chordata; Mammalia; Rodentia; Muridae.